UGUCCUUUGCAGGAGGCUUCCUUUUUAAGCAAUGGAAAGAGAAGUUCCUCACCCUCUCACCAGACGGGAGCUUGCUCGUCUGCCCAAAUGCAGGAAGCCCUGCUGAGCUGGGCAUCUCCCUGGGCACCAGCUGCGAUGCCAUCCUGGAGGGGAGCGAGAUCUGCGACCUGCCACGCCUUCCCCUGGGCGCCCAGCGGGACAGCUGCCUCGGACUGAGCCUCAACGAUGGGCGGUUCCUGCUUUUUCUUGCGCCCAACAACCAAGAGUGCAGGCAGUGGCUGAACAUCUUAAGAAAAGUCAAAGAGAGCUUCUCCCAGGGGUCUCCCUCCAGUUGCAAGGCCCACAUCAACUCG
This is a long non-coding RNA of Euleptes europaea (tarantolino), 353 nucleotides long. RefSeq lists it as uncharacterized. NCBI's taxonomy places the organism in Eukaryota, Metazoa, Chordata, Lepidosauria, Squamata, Sphaerodactylidae. The record is from RefSeq and is a predicted model, not a curated record. The transcript has 3 exons.